AUUGAACGCUGGCGGCAUGCCUUACACAUGCAAGUCGAACGGCAGCACGGGAGCAAUCCUGGUGGCGAGUGGCGAACGGGUGAGUAAUAUAUCGGAACGUGCCCAGUCGUGGGGGAUAACGCAGCGAAAGCUGUGCUAAUACCGCAUACGAUCUCUGGAUGAAAGCGGGGGACUCGCAAGGGCCUCGCGCGAUUGGAGCGGCCGAUAUCAGAUUAGCUAGUUGGCGGGGUAAAGGCCCACCAAGGCGACGAUCUGUAGCUGGUCUGAGAGGACGACCAGCCACACUGGAACUGAGACACGGUCCAGACUCCUACGGGAGGCAGCAGUGGGAAUUUUGGACAAUGGCGCAAGCCUGAUCCAGCAAUGCCGCGUGCAGGAUGAAGGCCUUCGGUU
RNAcentral lists this ribosomal RNA (393 nucleotides) under uncultured bacterium. RNAcentral's name for it is "bacterial SSU rRNA". It matches the Rfam family "Bacterial small subunit ribosomal RNA", at positions 30 to 423 of the family's 1533-position model. The record is from RNAcentral.